UAGGGAAUCUUCGGCAAUGGACGAAAGUCUGACCGAGCAACGCCGCGUGAGUGAAGAAGGUUUUCGGAUCGUAAAACUCUGUUGUUAGAGAAGAACAAGGACGUUAGUAACUGAACGUCCCCUGACGGUAUCUAACCAGAAAGCCACGGCUAACUACGUGCCAGCAGCCGCGGUAAUACGUAGGUGGCAAGCGUUGUCCGGAUUUAUUGGGCGUAAAGCGAGCGCAGGCGGUUUCUUAAGUCUGAUGUGAAAGCCCCCGGCUCAACCGGGGAGGGUCAUUGGAAACUGGGAGACUUGAGUGCAGAAGAGGAGAGUGGAAUUCCAUGUGUAGCGGUGAAAUGCGUAGAUAUAUGGAGGAAUACCAGUGGCGAAGGCGGCUCUCUGGUCUGUAACUGACGCUGAGGCUCGAAAGCGUGGGGAGCAAACAGG
This 429-nucleotide ribosomal RNA is filed under the name Chloroflexota bacterium. Its description in RNAcentral is "Chloroflexi bacterium partial 16S ribosomal RNA". It matches the Rfam family "Bacterial small subunit ribosomal RNA", at positions 355 to 776 of the family's 1533-position model. Lineage: Bacteria; Bacillati; Chloroflexota. The record is from RNAcentral. RNAcentral also lists the same sequence under 1 other name.